CUGCUAGCUUCCUUGGCAGCACGUAUGCUAAAAUUGGAACGAUGUAGAGAAGAUUAGCAUGGCCCCUGUGCAAGGAUGACAAGCAAAUUUAGGAAGCAUUCCAUAUUUUU
Molecule: small nuclear RNA, 110 nt
Organism: Loxodonta africana (African savanna elephant)
Lineage: Eukaryota; Metazoa; Chordata; Mammalia; Proboscidea; Elephantidae
Source: Ensembl